UAAGGAAUAUUGGUCAAUGGACGCAAGUCUGAACCAGCCAUGCCGCGUGAAGGAUGAAGGUCCUCCGGAUUGUAAACUUCUUUUAUCUGGGAAGAAAUCCUCGAAUUCUUUUGAGGUUGACGGUACCAGAGGAAUAAGCACCGGCUAACUCCGUGCCAGCAGCCGCGGUAAUACGGAGGGUGCAAGCGUUAUCCGGAUUCACUGGGUUUAAAGGGUGCGUAGGCGGGCAGGUAAGUCAGUGGUGAAAUCCCCGAGCUUAACUUGGGAACUGCCGUUGAUACUAUCUGUCUUGAAUAUCGUAGAGGUGAGCGGAAUAGGUCAUGUAGCGGUGAAAUGCUUAGAUAUGACCUAGAACACCAAUUGCGAAGGCAGCUCACUAUGCGAUUAUUGACGCUGAGGC
RNAcentral lists this ribosomal RNA (400 nucleotides) under uncultured bacterium. Its description in RNAcentral is "bacterial SSU rRNA". It matches the Rfam family "Bacterial small subunit ribosomal RNA", at positions 355 to 752 of the family's 1533-position model. The record is from RNAcentral.